RNAcentral lists this ribosomal RNA (260 nucleotides) under uncultured bacterium. Its description in RNAcentral is "partial 16S ribosomal RNA". It matches the Rfam family "Bacterial small subunit ribosomal RNA", at positions 516 to 775 of the family's 1533-position model. The record is from RNAcentral.
CGCGGUAAUACGGAGGAUGCAAGCGUUAUCCGGAUUUAUUGGGUUUAAAGGGUGCGCAGGUGGUCAAAUAAGUCAGUGGUGAAAGUCUGCCGCUUAACGGUAGGAUUGCCAUUGAUACUGUUUGACUUGAAUAUGGAUGAGGUAGGCGGAAUGUGUAGUGUAGCGGUGAAAUGCUUAGAUAUUACACAGAACACCGAUUGCGAAGGCAGCUUACUAAUCCAUGAUUGACGCUGAGGCACGAAAGCGUGGGGAUCAAACAG